Molecule: ribosomal RNA, 234 nt
Filed under: Afipia sp. ISOM032_OTU1
Lineage: Bacteria; Pseudomonadati; Pseudomonadota; Alphaproteobacteria; Hyphomicrobiales; Nitrobacteraceae
Also listed under: 1 other name
Description: partial 16S ribosomal RNA
Rfam family: Bacterial small subunit ribosomal RNA
Source: RNAcentral
GCGAACGCUGGCGGCAGGCUUAACACAUGCAAGUCGAGCGGGCGUAGCAAUACGUCAGCGGCAGACGGGUGAGUAACGCGUGGGAACGUACCUUUUGGUUCGGAACAACACAGGGAAACUUGUGCUAAUACCGGAUAAGCCCUUACGGGGAAAGAUUUAUCGCCGAAAGAUCGGCCCGCGUCUGAUUAGCUAGUUGGUGAGGUAACGGCUCACCAAGGCGACGAUCAGUAGCUG